UGGGGAAUAUUGCACAAUGGGCGCAAGCCUGAUGCAGCCAUGCCGCGUGUGUGAAGAAGGCCUUCGGGUUGUAAAGCACUUUCAGCGGGGAGGAAGGCGAUAAGGUUAAUAACCUUGUCGAUUGACGUUACCCGCAGAAGAAGCACCGGCUAACUCCGUGCCAGCAGCCGCGGUAAUACGGAGGGUGCAAGCGUUAAUCGGAAUUACUGGGCGUAAAGCGCACGCAGGCGGUCUGUCAAGUCGGAUGUGAAAUCCCCGGGCUUAACCUGGGAACUGCAUUCGAAACUGGCAGGCUAGAGUCUUGUAGAGGGGGGUAGAAUUCCAGGUGUAGCGGUGAAAUGCGUAGAGAUCUGGAGGAAUACCGGUGGCGAAGGCGGCCCCCUGGACGAAGACUGACGCUCAGGUGCGAAAGCGUGGGGAGCAAACAGG
This 429-nucleotide ribosomal RNA is filed under the name Chloroflexota bacterium. RNAcentral describes it as "Chloroflexi bacterium partial 16S ribosomal RNA". It matches the Rfam family "Bacterial small subunit ribosomal RNA", at positions 355 to 776 of the family's 1533-position model. Lineage: Bacteria; Bacillati; Chloroflexota. The record is from RNAcentral.